This 1067-nucleotide ribosomal RNA is filed under the name Dothideomycetes sp. 11055. RNAcentral's name for it is "eukaryotic LSU rRNA". The stretch from base 474 to 1067 matches the Rfam family "Eukaryotic large subunit ribosomal RNA", at positions 1 to 516 of the family's 3401-position model. The record is from RNAcentral. Lineage: Eukaryota; Fungi; Ascomycota; Dothideomycetes.
AGGAUCAUUACAGUGACCCCGGUCUAACCACCGGGAUGUUCAUAACCCUUUGUUGUCCGACUCUGUUGCCUCCGGGGCGACCCUGCCUUCGGGCGGGGGCUCCGGGUGGACACUUCAAACUCUUGCGUAACUUUGCAGUCUGAGUAAACUUAAUUAAUAAAUUAAAACUUUUAACAACGGAUCUCUUGGUUCUGGCAUCGAUGAAGAACGCAGCGAAAUGCGAUAAGUAAUGUGAAUUGCAGAAUUCAGUGAAUCAUCGAAUCUUUGAACGCACAUUGCGCCCCCUGGUAUUCCGGGGGGCAUGCCUGUUCGAGCGUCAUUUCACCACUCAAGCCUCGCUUGGUAUUGGGCAACGCGGUCCGCCGCGUGCCUCAAAUCGACCGGCUGGGUCUUCUGUCCCCUAAGCGUUGUGGAAACUAUUCGCUAAAGGGUGCUCGGGAGGCUACGCCGUAAAACAAACCCAUUUCUAAGGUUGACCUCGGAUCAGGUAGGGAUACCCGCUGAACUUAAGCAUAUCAAUAAGCGGAGGAAAAGAAACCAACAGGGAUUGCUCUAGUAACGGCGAGUGAAGCAGCAAUAGCUCAAAUUUGAAAUCUGGCGUCUUCGACGUCCGAGUUGUAAUUUGUAGAGGAUGCUUCUGAGUAACCACCGACCUAAGUUCCUUGGAACAGGACGUCAUAGAGGGUGAGAAUCCCGUAUGCGGUCGGAAAGGUGCUCUAUACGUAGCUCCUUCGACGAGUCGAGUUGUUUGGGAAUGCAGCUCUAAAUGGGAGGUAAAUUUCUUCUAAAGCUAAAUAUUGGCCAGAGACCGAUAGCGCACAAGUAGAGUGAUCGAAAGAUGAAAAGCACUUUGGAAAGAGAGUUAAAAAGCACGUGAAAUUGUUAAAAGGGAAGGGAUUGCAACCAGACUUGCUCGCGGUGUUCCGCCGGUCUUCUGACCGGUCUACUCGCCGCGUUGCAGGCCAGCAUCGUCUGGUGCCGCUGGAUAAGACUUGAGGAAUGUAGCUCCCUCGGGAGUGUUAUAGCCUCUUGUGAUGCAGCGAGCGCCGGGCGAGGUCCGCGCUUCG